GUCAUGACUGCUUUCUGCCUGAACCAGCUAGCUUUCUCUUGCCUAUGAGUGAAGAAUGUGUAGAAAAUUUCCUGCUGAAUAAGGAUACACAGAGAAUGAAAAACAGACAAAAGCAACUCUUAACAUCCAACUCACAAUAUUUUGCAAGAUUAGAG
This 155-nucleotide long non-coding RNA is filed under the name Cavia porcellus (domestic guinea pig). Its description in RNAcentral is "lncRNA (ENSCPOG00000038172.1)". The record is from RNAcentral. Lineage: Eukaryota; Metazoa; Chordata; Mammalia; Rodentia; Caviidae.